This 265-nucleotide ribosomal RNA is filed under the name uncultured archaeon. Its description in RNAcentral is "partial 16S ribosomal RNA". It matches the Rfam family "Archaeal small subunit ribosomal RNA", at positions 717 to 982 of the family's 1478-position model. The record is from RNAcentral.
AGACGUCUACAUUACGAUACCCGGUACGUCCCAGCCGUAAACUAUGCGCGUUAGGUGUAGUCGGUGACCACGAGUUACCGAGGUGCCGAAGGGAAACCGUGAAACGUGCCGCCUGGGAAGUACGGUCGCAAGGCUGAAACUUAAAGGAAUUGCGGGGAGCACCACAACGGGUGGAGCCUGCGGUUUAAUUGGACUCAACGCCGGGAAGCUCACCGGAUAAGACAGCGGAAUGAUUGCCGGGCUGAAGACUCUGCAUGACUAGCUG